This 21-nucleotide transfer RNA is filed under the name Prochilodus lineatus (curimbata). RNAcentral describes it as "partial tRNA-Thr". The record is from RNAcentral. Lineage: Eukaryota; Metazoa; Chordata; Actinopteri; Characiformes; Prochilodontidae.
CUGAACACUCCUCCUUCAAUG